UUCAUGUCUCCCCUUUUUAGACCAUAUAGGGUAACUUCCAGACGUUACCAAGGCAUUUGUAAACUGUCUUGGAGCUGGUGAGAGUGUGGCAGUGAGGACGACCAGAGGUCACUGUCAUCAUCAUCUUGGUUUGGGUGGGUUUUAGCUGUCUUCUUUAUUGCAGCCUGUUUUAUCAGCAAGGUCUUUAUGACCUGUAUUCUGUGCUGAUCUUUUAUCUCAUCCUGUGACCUAGAAUACCUAACCAUCAGGGAACGCAGCCCAGUAAGUCUCAGCCUCAUUUUACCCAGCUCCUAUUCAAGAUGGAGUUGCUCUGGUUCAAAUGCCUCUGACAAGUCUAUUACUGUGGCCAUUUUACAAACAAGGUGACUGAGGCUCAGAAAGGUGGCAUUGUUCACUCAUACCCACAGAGCUAAGACAGAGCGGAAGUGGGAUUCAAACCCAGGUCUGCAGGAUUUGGAGGUUUCCUCCAAACCCAUCCUCUUUCCAGAACACCUACUCCCUUCAAAUCAAUCUUCCAUUUGGGGGCUAUGAACACAUAUCCUUAGUCCAGAUCUUUCAGAGACUAAAUAAAAAACGUUCCAUCUUGAUUCCUUUUUUUUUUUUAACUUCAAGACAGGGUCUCACUAUGUUGCGCAGGCUGGUCUUGAACUCUUGGACUGAAAGGAUCCUACCGCCUUGGCCUCUGGAGUAGCUGGGACUACAGACGUGCACAAUGCCCCCGCCCCGCCAGCCCGACAUCAAGCAUUCUUGAUGGUGGGUUUCUCAGAACCUCUCCAGCCUGCUUCACCAAGGUUCUCAGGAAACCAGGGGAAUGGUGACCUGCUACCAGAAAUCUCGUCACUGCUUUUGCAGAAUUAACAUCAUCCAUCAGCGCCACUGCCCUGGAGGGGCUGGGAGUGUAGGGAGACAGGCAGCUUCAGCCUGCAGGGUUACACCCUGGAGACAUCCACAAGAGACUCAAUUUACUUCUGGACAGAAACCAGCAGGAUCUCCUUGUGCCAUGGCCCCCAGGCCAAGGACUUACUACUCUUCUAUUGGAACCAACUCCAACAACCUUCUGCUUCUACUAAUCAGACACAAGGCAGCAUCUGGGGUGGGAGUAGGUUGGAAAGGAGUGAGCUUCUGUUUUAUUUUUCCUUCUUCAGCAAUCGCGAAGGUAUAUCCACGCAGUAGAGAUGACAUGACCUGGAAUCGAAUUCUGGCUCCACCACUGCCUAGCCAUUGAUCUCGGCCAAAUCACUUAGCAUUCCUAAGCCUCAGUCGCUUCUGUGUUAAAAGGGCUUAUAAUACCUACCACAAAUGUUGUGAUCAGUGGUGCUGGUCAAUGUUUAAUAACUAGUUCUCUGGAGGAAAACCCUGGUAUAUAGCAUUUGCCCAUUUCUAUGGUGUAAAUACUCCCACCAAAGUCAAUCUCAAACUCCCAAGGGGAGGUCACUGAACACAGAGUUGGGAAGACAGGCACAGGAGCAGACACUGUAGAGAAUUUUCACCAAACAGAUAUCAUAAUCUUAAGAGCAUAGGUAAUGGGAGAACAUAGUAAAUUAAGAAGUGAGGAGUUUUAGUGUUAUUACUUUUAUCUUUCAAUUCAAUGUAUCUAUUUAAUUGUAAGUUUAUAUAAUUUUUUAUUUUUUUUCGAGACAGUCUCACUCUGUUGUCCAGGCUGGAGUGCAGUGGCACCAUUUUGCUCACUGCAACCUCUGUCUCCCAGGUUCAAGCGAUUCUCCUGCCUCAGCCUCCCGAGUAGCUGGGAUUACAGACACACACCACCACACCCAGCUAAUUUUUGUAUUUUUUGUAUUGACGGAGUUUCAUCAUGUUGGCCAGGCUGAUCUCCAACUCCUGGCCUCCAGUGAUCCGCCCACCUCGGCCUCCCAAAGUGCUGGGAUUACAGGCGUGAGUCACCACGCCCAGCCCAUACAAUUUCUUUUCUUUUCUUUUCUUUUCCUCUUUUUUGAGACAGGGUCUUGCUCUGUCACCCAGGCUGGAGUGCAGUGGUGUGAUCAUGGCUCACUGCAACCUCAACUUCCCAGGCUGAAGUGAUCCUCCCACCUCAUGAGGAGCUGGAAUUACAGGUGCAUGCUACCACGCCUGGCUAUCUUUUUAAUUCUUUUGUAGAGACAAGGUCUCCCUAUGUUACCCAGGCUGGUCUUGAACUCCUAGGCUGACGUGAUCCUCCCAGCUUGGCCUCCCAAAGUGCUGGGAUUACAGGAGUGAGCCACCACGCCCCACCAGUUCAUAUAAUUUCUUUAAAAUAAUAGUUGUGCCUUCCUGUUCUCAAAAAUCCAAUACCCUAGGAGACAUAGGGAGCCAGGUUUAGCGGUAGAGGGGAUGAAUUUGCAGGUAACUAAAGAACAGUAUAGUUGAUUGGGAGGUUCAGGGCCUGCAGUGUGCAGUGGAACUGACCUGUACUCGCCCUGCUUCCCCAAACGGGUGACCUUGGUCAAGCACUCCCAUUUCUCUGCUUCAGUGUGCUCAUUCAUAAAAUAAUCAUCUGCUCGUCGGGUUAAUGCCAGUUCUAAAUGAGAUGAUCUGGGGAAAACUUUUAGCACAGAGCCUGGCAUAUAGUAACAGCUCAAUAAAUGGUGGCAGCCCUCAUUAGUGAUGUGAUAAUUGUGCUAAUGGGGAAGCGUACACAUUGCAUCUGCAUUGGGAGCCUGGCCAAGGUACAGAUUAAGGUGCUGGGUUCAGGCCAAGCUCGAGGAAGCAAACGAGGGCUGCAGUUUACGCCGGAAAAUUAGGUGGGUGUUGACUUGGGCAGAUGGCAGCCCAGCCCUUAAAAAAAAAAAAAAAAGUCCGGAAAUAGGAACAUUGGAUGCAUGCCUCUCUCUCUAGGGUGGGAACAAGGGACAGGAGAGCAAAUCAAUGGGCUUAAAAAGUCAAAGCAGGUCAAGUGGGCCGGGUGUGGUGGCUCAUGCCUGUAAUCCCAGCUCCUUGGGAGGCCAAGGUGAGCGAAUCACCUGAGGUCAGGAGUUCAAGACCAGCCUGGCCAAUAUGGUGAAACCCCGUCUCCACUAAACAUACAAAAAUUAGCCAGGCGUGGUGGCACAUGCCUGUAACCGCACCUACUUGGGAGGCUGAGGAAAGAGAAUCACCUGAACCCGGGAGGCGGAGGCUUCAGUGAGCCAAGAUUGUGCCACUGCGCUCCAACCUGGGCAAUAGAGUGAGACUCCAUCUCAAAAAAUAAAAUAAGGCUGGGUGCCAUGGUUCAUGCCUGUAAUCCCAACGCUUGGGGAGGCUGAGGCGGGCAGAUCACCUGAGGCCAGGAGUUCAAGACCAGCGUGGCCAACAUGGUGAAAUCCCAUCUCUACUAAAAAUACAAAAAUUAGAUGGGCAUGGUGGCAUGUACAUGUAAUCUCAGCUACUCAGGAGACUGAGGCACAAGAAUCAUUUGAACCCUGGAGGCGGAGUUUUCAGGGAGCUGAGAUCCGGCCACUGCACUCCAGCCUGGGCAACAGAUUGAGGCUCUGUCUCAAUAAAAUAAAAUAAAAUAAAAUGAAUAAAAUAAAAUAAAAUAAACCCAGGUCAACUGCUCCAAGGAACAGUCUGCCUUCACCUGUCAGCAUUUGUGGAGGCUAGUGAAGCACAUGCUGUUGUUGGCGUGGAGAAUCAUGAACUGAUGGUGGUGGCUGUAUGAACCGCUUCGUGGGCAGUGGAUCCGACCAGAGCUGAACUUUAGAAAAGAUCUGUUGCUUGGAUAAGGAACAGAUUCGGUUGCUCAACCCAACCUGCCCUUAUCGCCAAUGACCCAGCUCAACGUUCUCUCUGGUUUAGAGGAAAACAAACAGGACGUUAGGAAGUAACCAGAUCAGAUGGUCAGAGGUGGAUCUAGGGGGAGCCGGGACACUCUCUAACGCUCCUCCAGCAGGAGAUGUCCUGGGCGGUGCCUAGAGGAAUGUGAUGGCUUCACACAUGUGGAAGAGCCUAGCGAGUGAGGCUCCCUGCAGCUAUGGAUGUCCACUGCAGCCUCAUGUCCUGGCCUCGCCCUCCCAGUAUGAGCUUGGAAUUUUCUUAAACAAGAAAUUUCCAGUGUUGGCCAGGCGCAGUCCCAGCACCUUUGGAGGCUGAGGCGGGUGGGUCACCUGAGGUCAGGAGUUCGAGACCAGCCUGGCUAACAUGGUGAAAUUCUGUCUGUACUAAAAAAUACAAAAAUUAGCUGGGCCUGGUGGCGUGUGCCUGUAGUUCCAGCUACUUAGGAGGCGGAAGCAGGAGAAUCGCUUGAACCUGGGAGGCAGACAUUGCAGUGAGCCAAGAUCACGCCACCGCACUCCAGCCUGGGCAACAGAGUGCCUCA
RNAcentral lists this long non-coding RNA (4291 nucleotides) under Homo sapiens (human). RNAcentral's name for it is "HSALNT0195531". The record is from RNAcentral. Lineage: Eukaryota; Metazoa; Chordata; Mammalia; Primates; Hominidae.